This 253-nucleotide ribosomal RNA is filed under the name uncultured bacterium. Its description in RNAcentral is "partial 16S ribosomal RNA". It matches the Rfam family "Bacterial small subunit ribosomal RNA", at positions 524 to 776 of the family's 1533-position model. The record is from RNAcentral.
UACGUAGGGGGCAAGCGUUGUCCGGAAUCAUUGGGCGUAAAGCGCGUGUAGGCGGUCCGGUAAGUCCGCUGUGAAAGUCCAGGGCUCAACCCUGGGAUGCCGGUGGAUACUGUCGGGCUAGAGUACGGAAGAGGCGAGUGGAAUUCCCGGUGUAGCGGUGAAAUGCGCAGAUAUCGGGAGGAACACCACUUGCGAAGGCAGAUCGCUGGGACGUUACUGACGCUGAGACGCGAAAGCCAGGGGAGCGAACGGG